CCUACGGGUGGCAGCAGUGGGGAAUAUUGGGCAAUGGGCGCAAGCCUGACCCAGCAACGCCGCGUGAAGGAAGAAGGCUUUCGGGUUGUAAACUUCUUUUAUGAGGGACGAAACAAAUGACGGUACCUCAUGAAUAAGCCACGGCUAACUACGUGCCAGCAGCCGCGGGAAUACGUAGGGGGCAAGCGUUAUCCGGAUGUACUGGGUGUAAAGGGCGUGUAGGCGGGACGGCAAGUCAGAUGUGAACAUUAUGGGCUCAAACCAUAACCUGCAUUUGAACCUGUGGUUCUUGAGUGAGGGAGAGGCAGGCGGAAUUCCGGGUGUAGCGGUGAAAUGCGUAGAUAUACGGAGGAACACCAGUCGCGAAGGCGGCCUGCUGGACAGUAACUGACGCUGAGGCGCGAAAGCGUGGGGAGCGAACAGGAUUAGAUACCCGUGUAGUC
RNAcentral lists this ribosomal RNA (443 nucleotides) under uncultured bacterium. Its description in RNAcentral is "partial 16S ribosomal RNA". It matches the Rfam family "Bacterial small subunit ribosomal RNA", at positions 338 to 795 of the family's 1533-position model. The record is from RNAcentral.